UGGGGAAUUUUGGACAAUGGGCGAAAGCCUGAUCCAGCAAUGCCGCGUGUGUGAAGAAGGCCUUCGGGUUGUAAAGCACUUUUGUCCGGAAAGAAAUCCUUGGCUCUAAUACAGUCGGGGGAUACGGUACCGGAAGAAUAAGCACCGGCUAACUACGUGCCAGCAGCCGCGGUAAUACGUAGGGUGCAAGCGUUAAUCGGAAUUACUGGGCGUAAAGCGUGCGCAGGCGGUUUGCUAAGACCGUGUGAAAUCCCCGGGCUCAACCUGGGACUGCAUUGGUGACUGGCAGGCUAGAGNAUGGCAGAGGGGGGUAGAAUUCCACGUGUACAGUGAAAUGCGUAGAGAUGUGGAGGAAUACCGAUGGCGAAGGCAGCCCCCUGGGCCAAUACUGACGCUCAUGCACGAAAG
This 408-nucleotide ribosomal RNA is filed under the name uncultured bacterium. Its description in RNAcentral is "partial 16S ribosomal RNA". It matches the Rfam family "Bacterial small subunit ribosomal RNA", at positions 355 to 759 of the family's 1533-position model. The record is from RNAcentral.